This is a non-coding RNA of Physcomitrium patens, 3112 nucleotides long. The record is from RefSeq and is a predicted model, not a curated record. NCBI's taxonomy places the organism in Eukaryota, Viridiplantae, Streptophyta, Bryopsida, Funariales, Funariaceae.
UCCCCGCCCGAUCACGAAAUUGCAAGGCCCCAAUUCGCGCUUCGACUCAGUGGCUCCUCUUCGUGCAAGUGUUCCCAUCGCGGACUUGAAUGCCUCCCUCAAAACCUGCCCCUCAUAGCGCCGCGGAGCCCAGCAUCAUCCGAGUCGCACAGUCAAUGAUCAUCGUGUUUGGAAGUGUUUAGGUUACCAAGUUUCUCAGACUGGUUCCGAAUAAUUUGCGUCUUCGUUAGGACAUGAUGCGAUGUUGUGUACUGUGAUGGGAGAUCGGUGUAUUGCUCGUGAGUUUUUGUAAUUAAUCGUGCGAAUUUGUCGAUUUGUGAGUAGUGGACGGUGUGGCUGAGUUUUGGAUUUGGCGAGUGUUCUAAUAUUUGUUUAGUUUGAGAUCAUGUCAGCAUGUCGUGGGACUGGAUGAUCGAUGACUUUGACUGCACGAUGGUAGCGCACUGCGUGAAACCAAGGGGCUCGCAAGGUCUGCCGUGCGGGGCGAAGAUUGGAUCGAAGGAGAGGCAGAUUUUGCCCUGCGCGACGAAGAUAGGGUCGAGAUCGUCUGGGGUUCGGCUUGGCAGGCGACCUAGGUUGCGGAAGAGUGGCCAGCCGGAAAUGGACAAUGGGUUUGGGGAGAGGAAACUUGUGUAUAUGGAUGGGAUUAAUUGGCUGGGCUCGUUUUGGAACACUCGUGAGAUUAUGACGAAUCCGUGGAGAGCGCUGCGGAAUUCGGACAAGAAGGUUAGGCAGUUUGUACAUGCAGCUCGUUUAUCCAAUUUUGAGAUCGUACUCGUGGCGGAUGCCGACACGAAGACGGAGCAGGCACUUGGGAAGUGGCACAAGCGUCGCCAGGAGGAGAUUUUCAAGGAGAGGAAGAAAGUGUGUUUGGGGGUGGACAUCUUCCUCGUGGAAUCAUUCCAGAAGCACGGCAUUCGUGUGGUGAGGCCCCUGGGUGCGGAUGCAGACGACGUUCUGGCAGCUCUGGCCAUUGCAACUUCCGGAAUAGUGCUGAGUAGGGAUCGGGAUUUCUUCCGGUACGAUAGACCGAUUUGUGUAUGCAAUGGUUUCUCUGUGCGUGACGGUAAGCUGUUCUUGGAGCCCACGACGACAAUUGACACAUCUGCCAAACCUAGGUCUGUUACAAGAAGAGUGCAGCUGGAACUUGCACAUGCUGUCCUCAGCUAUGAGCAGAAUUGGUCACUUGGAGUGAUCACCAAGUACCGUCCCUCUCUGAUGAAUGGCAUGACACGUCGUGGUACAAGCAGCUCCUCUGAUAAGACUAUGGGGAACCUGCACGUCCUCGCGCGGCCAUUGCGUGCUGCCGUGUAUGCUAUACUAGGCGAGGAGUGGGCGGUGGAGGAGGUACCAGAGUGGUGCAAAGAGAACAAGAAAGUUGUGUGGACAGAAACAACAGUUGCUGCGGAUCCUGCCCUAGUUCCAGUGCUCAAUAAGCCGCAAGCCGUGGUCGCGUGGUUAGUAGAGCGUGACACAUUGCUGGAGACGUUAGAGCCCUGGCGAGCAGCGGAACGAAAAUUCAACAUCUGCGCUCUGGCUGCAGAGAUGAUCGUGGUCUCGUCCCAGGGCGCAUGGACCAUGCGGAAGUGCAUGGAAUUAUUUCACAGACAGGUUAACACGAUACCGCCCCGCAGGCAUCAUAAUUUUGAGCGUUUUCGUGCACCGUCUUCAAGAGCCCUAAUCAGGCCAGGAGUUGGCGCCCAGGUAUUUGGAAAUCGUGCUCGCGAUCAAGAUUUCGGCAAGCAAGUGGCCGAUGUAAAAAGAUUGGUGCAGCGUUUGAACGCACCCUCACAGCCGCAGCUACAGAAGUCAGAAGCGAUAGUUCCUUCAGCCCAAUGGCUUCCCUUAAACACUUCAUGUCGUGGUUGCAAGCAUCAGAUAUUGCCCUAUCAACCCCAUACAUCGAUCAUGCGGCGUGGAUUCAUAAUCCCAUUACGAAUUUAGAAUGCAAGCAACCGGUGGAUUGUAUAUCAGGAACUGACCACAUUAUACCUUGUGCCUGGAACUUAUCUACCUCGGAUUCUGCCUUGCAGUUCGGGAUUGAUAUGGUUUUUGAGUUGCCCUUUGGCCGCUGUCGCGGUGGGUAUCAUGAAACGUUCAUUCCAGCGCCGGUGGGAUCGGCCGGAGGCACUCCUCUUCCCGCAGCGGUGGAAAAUUGCUGAGCGCAAUGGGAGUUCAAUAAAUUGGAUCAUAACUGUGGACAGUUUUUUGUUUUGUUGUGAAUUGGAAGUUACUCUCGAAGUAAAAGGGUUCCUUCUUUGACAAGUUCGAGGCUGCUCCAGUGACGUUUUCCAUCUGUUGUUGGAUUUCUGCUAAACAUGGGUGCAAGCAGUAAGAGCAAUUCUGGAUUUGACAUGUAGCUCGAAUUUGGCGCUCGCCUCCACCCCAGCGCAUCAAAGCGCGUAGCUGGCGUCCCAGCUUUUGAGCAGUGCAUCUGUCAACUAUGGGCUAGUCUACCUUAAAAACCUCUAUGACGUCUUUUUCGCCAGCGACAACCUUCAGUGGUCUGAGGGUUGGGUGGUCUAUGGAACGUCUUGGUUCUGUCGGAUAAGAACAUGGGUGCUGUGAGUUUUAUUUUUCUAUCGCACUUUGGGAACGGUGGAUCUGCUGGGGGAGCGUUAGCAUCUAAGAUUGGUGUUUGUGCCAAAAUUCCUCGAACAAUUACUGGGGAUAAAGUGAAAUUGAAAUCAUAGCUGGAUUAGCAAGUGUCGGUUUCUUACCGCAUCUUGUUAGGCAUGCAUGUCCAAGAAAGUCAAAUCUACCAUGCAUGGAAUAAGAAGGAUUUGUUGAAGGUCAUUGGACAAAGAGCUAAAACUGUUAAAGAAAUGUAAAACAUUGGGUUAAGUGGACACAACGAGUGCGCUCUCAACUGUAAGCGCAUGGAAGAGGGAGGUACCUGGGGGAAGUUUUAAGUUGGAAUAUGUCUAUAACAAUGAGUUGGAAUAAGUUUUAUAACAAUUGUAUUAAAUCUUGAAAAGACUAUAUUAUAAGGCUGGGAGUUAAAUGAGUAUCAUAUUGGCAUUGUUAGAGGUGCCAAUUACCAAUUCAAGUUAAUGUAUUUUGUCAACUGACUUGUUUAUUAAAAAAUAAAUGUAUCUUGGUUUCAAGACAA